This 897-nucleotide ribosomal RNA is filed under the name uncultured marine bacterium. RNAcentral describes it as "bacterial SSU rRNA". It matches the Rfam family "Bacterial small subunit ribosomal RNA", at positions 59 to 1004 of the family's 1533-position model. The record is from RNAcentral.
AAGUCGAACGAAGUAGCAAUACUUAGUGGCGAACGGGUGAGUAUAAUGUGGGUAUCUGCCUUUUGGUUUGGAAUAACACGGGGAAACUUGUGCUAAUACCGGAUAAGCCUUUACAGGGAAAGUUUUAACGCCGAAAGAUGAGCCCAUACUUGACUAGCUAGUUGGUAAGGUAAUGGCUUACCAAGGCUACGAUCAAUAGCUGAUCUGAGAGGAUGAUCAGCCACAUUGGGACUGAGACACGGCCCAAACUCCUACGGGAGGCAGCAGUGGGGAAUCUUGCACAAUGGGGGAAACCCUGAUGCAGCGAUGCCGCGUGAGUGAAGAAGGCCCUUGGGUUGUAAAGCUCUUUCGUCGGGGAAGAAAAUGACUGUACCCGAAUAAGAAGGUCCGGCUAACUUCGUGCCAGCAGCCGCGGUAAUACGAAGGGACCUAGCGUAGUUCGGAAUUACUGGGCUUAAAGAGCACGUAGGUGGUUAAGAAAGUUGGUGGUGAAAUCCCAAGGCUUAACCUUGGAACUGCCACCAAAACUUUUUAACUAGAGUAUGAUAGAGGUAAGCGGAAUUUCUAGUGUAGAGGUGAAAUUCGUAGAUAUUAGAAAGAACACCAAUUGCGAAGGCAGCUUUCUGGAUCAUUACUGACACUGAGGUGCGAAAGCAUGGGUAGCGAAGAGGAUUAGAUACCCUCGUAGUCCAUGCUGUAAACGAUGUGUGCUAGACGUUGGAAAUUUAAUUUUCAGUGUCGCAGCAAAAGCGUUAAGCACACCGCCUGGGGAGUACGACCGCAAGGUUAAAACUCAAAUGAAUUGACGGGGACCCGCACAAGCAGUGGAGCAUGUGGUUUAAUUCGAAGAUACGCGCAGAACCUUACCAACACUUGACAUGUUCGUCGCGACUCUAA